This 73-nucleotide transfer RNA is filed under the name Acanthamoeba castellanii str. Neff. It matches the Rfam family "tRNA". From Rfam's summary of the family: Transfer RNA (tRNA) molecules are approximately 80 nucleotides in length. Their secondary structure includes four short double-helical elements and three loops (D, anti-codon, and T loops). The record is from Rfam by way of RNAcentral. Lineage: Eukaryota; Discosea; Longamoebia; Acanthamoebidae.
GGGGGCGUAGUUCAAUUGGUAGAGCGUCUGACUCCAGAUCAGAAGGUUGCGUGUUCAAGUCACGUAGUCCUCA